UACGUAGGGGGCGAGCGUUGUCCGGAGUUACUGGGCGUAAAGCGCACGCAGGCGGUCUGUCGCGUCGGCUGUGAAAACCCGGAGCUCAACUCCGGGCCUGCAGUCGAUACGGGCAGACUGGAGUUCGGCAGGGGAGACUGGAAUUCCUGGUGUAGCGGUGAAAUGCGCAGAUAUCAGGAGGAACACCGGUGGCGAAGGCGGGUCUCUGGGCCGAUACUGACGCUGAGGAGCGAAAGCGUGGGGAGCGAACAGG
Molecule: ribosomal RNA, 253 nt
Filed under: uncultured bacterium
Lineage: Bacteria
Description: partial 16S ribosomal RNA
Rfam family: Bacterial small subunit ribosomal RNA
Source: RNAcentral